GGGGAAUCUUGCACAAUGGGCGGAAGCCUGAUGCAGCGACGCCGCGUGCGGGACGAAGGCCUUCGGGCUGUAAACCGCUUUCAGCAGGGACGAGGCGCAAGUGACGGUACCUGCAGAAGAAGCCCCGGCUAACUACGUGCCAGCAGCCGCGGUAAUACGUAGGGGGCAAGCGUUAUCCGGAUUCAUUGGGCGUAAAGCGCGCGUAGGCGGCCAGCCUGGUCGGGAGUCAAAUCCGGGGGCUCAACCCCCGUCCGCUCCCGAUACCGGCCGGCUUGAGUCUGGCAGGGGAAGGCGGAAUUCCCGGUGUAGCGGUGGAAUGCGCAGAUAUCGGGAAGAACACCGGUGGCGAAGGCGGCCUUCUGGGCCACGACUGACGCUGAGGCGCGAAAGCUAGGGGAGCGAAC
RNAcentral lists this ribosomal RNA (404 nucleotides) under uncultured bacterium. Its description in RNAcentral is "bacterial SSU rRNA". It matches the Rfam family "Bacterial small subunit ribosomal RNA", at positions 356 to 773 of the family's 1533-position model. The record is from RNAcentral.